Musa acuminata AAA Group (dessert banana) is the source of this 906-nucleotide long non-coding RNA. RefSeq lists it as uncharacterized. NCBI's taxonomy places the organism in Eukaryota, Viridiplantae, Streptophyta, Magnoliopsida, Zingiberales, Musaceae. The record is from RefSeq and is a predicted model, not a curated record. The transcript is spliced from 5 exons.
GGUAUUCAAACAGUUAGUUCGGCUUUUCUUGACCCAACUCGGCCUGGUAAGUCGAAAUAAGUGAUCGGAUGGGCGAUCGCCGACUCUUCUUCCUCGCGAUCGCACCGGCGAGCCCGCCGUGCGUGAGCCGAUCCCUUCGCCGCUUAGGAGGAUUACAGCUUGCUGCCAAUGGCUACAAUACAGCAUUUCAUUGGGAUCUCCUUAACUAAUCUUCUUAAUGUUGAUCAUUGCCCCUUACCAAACAACCAGGACCGAAGGAUCUCACAGAUAUUGCCAGGAAUGCUGGUAGACUGGCAGGAUGAGCAAUUGCAUAUGUUCAAUUAGUUUGUAGGCAGUUGUUUUUAACAGAUGUGCCACCAUCUCAGGCUAGCAAGGUGCACAAAGAACUACAAGAUAGCAUUUCUUUAUUAGAAGCAAGGUUUUUAUGGAAUACAAAGCAUAUCAAUAGUGAACCUAGGUCUAUUUCCUCUGAGGAUGGAUGGACCAGAACAAAUGCAGAGCACUGGAUCUAAGCAGAGCAAAUUCAGUUUCUUAUGGUUUCCACAACCAGUCAAUGAGAUAUUCCAAGCUUGCUGAAGCUUCACUGCCCAGUCAGGUCCUUGUGAAAUUCAUGAAGAUGUGAUGGAACAUGAUGCUGAAGGUGACAUGCUGACUGUUCUUCCUGUGUCUGCUGAAACAGCAGGAUCACUUCCAAAGCAUGGCGGUAAACAUCCCUAGUCGCUGGUAUAAUUCCAUAUUUUUAUUUUGGUAUUGAUAUCAAUAUAUUUUAGACCCAUGCUGUGAAGUUUUUGUAAGUGAAUCGUACUAGGAAAAAUUAGAUUAUUUUAUCGUUACUGGGAACUCAAAAUAUUUAGAGAAGAGAAUGAAGAUUGAGCAAUGGGAGCGGGUGCACUGAAAAUUCAGCUA